UGGGGAAUCUUCCGCAAUGGACGAAAGUCUGACGGAGCAACGCCGCGUGAGUGAAGAAGGCCUUCGGGUUGUAAAGCUCUGUGAUUCAGGAAGAAUGGGCUAUGUGUGAACAAUGCAUAGCCGUGACGGUACUGAAAGAGGAAGCCACGGCUAACUACGUGCCAGCAGCCGCGAUAAUACGUAGGUGGCGAGCGUUGUCCGGAAUUAUUGGGCGUAAAGAGCGCGUAGGCGGGAAAAGAAGUCCACUUUAAAAGUGCGGGGAUCAGCCCCGUGAGGGGUGGAAACUCUUUUCUUGAGUGCCGGAGAGGAAAGCGGAAUUCCCAGUGUAGCGGUGAAAUGCGUAGAUAUUGGGAGGAACACCAGUGGCGAAGGCGGCUUUCUGGACGGUGUCUGACGCUG
Molecule: ribosomal RNA, 399 nt
Filed under: uncultured bacterium
Lineage: Bacteria
Description: bacterial SSU rRNA
Rfam family: Bacterial small subunit ribosomal RNA
Source: RNAcentral